UACGUAGGUGGCAAGCGUUGUCCGGAAUUAUUGGGCGUAAAGCGCGCGCAGGCGGUUUCUUAAGUCUGAUGUGAAAGCCCACGGCUCAACCGUGGAGGGUCAUUGGAAACUGGGGAACUUGAGUACAGAAGAGGAAAGCGGAAUUCCACGUGUAGCGGUGAAAUGCGUAGAGAUGUGGAGGAACACCAGUGGCGAAGGCGGCUUUCUGGUCUGUAACUGACGCUGAGGCGCGAAAGCGUGGGGAGCAAACAGG
Molecule: ribosomal RNA, 253 nt
Filed under: uncultured bacterium
Lineage: Bacteria
Description: partial 16S ribosomal RNA
Rfam family: Bacterial small subunit ribosomal RNA
Source: RNAcentral